Molecule: ribosomal RNA, 468 nt
Filed under: uncultured bacterium
Lineage: Bacteria
Description: partial 16S ribosomal RNA
Rfam family: Bacterial small subunit ribosomal RNA
Source: RNAcentral
GACGAACGCUGGCGGCGUGCUUAACACAUGCAAGUCGAACGGAAAGGCCCUGCUUUUGUGGGGUGCUCGAGUGGCGAACGGGUGAGUAACACGUGAGUAACCUGCCCUUGACUUUGGGAUAACUUCAGGAAACUGGGGCUAAUACCGGAUAGGAGCUCCUGCUGCAUGGUGGGGGUUGGAAAGUUCCGGCGGUUGGGGAUGGACUCGCGGCUUAUCAGCUUGUUGGUGGGGUAGUGGCUUACCAAGGCUUUGACGGGUAGCCGGCCUGAGAGGGUGACCGGCCACAUUGGGACUGAGAUACGGCCCAGACUCCUACGGGAGGCAGCAGUGGGGAAUAUUGCACAAUGGGCGGAAGCCUGAUGCAGCAACGCCGCGUGCGGGAUGACGGCCUUCGGGUUGUAAACCGCUUUCGCCUGUGACGAAGCGUGAGUGGCGGUAAUGGGUAAAGAAGCACCGGCUAACUACGUG